This 2726-nucleotide long non-coding RNA is filed under the name Macaca mulatta (Rhesus monkey). RNAcentral describes it as "lncRNA (ENSMMUG00000059285.1)". Lineage: Eukaryota; Metazoa; Chordata; Mammalia; Primates; Cercopithecidae. The record is from RNAcentral.
AAUUGUCUCCCAUGAAACUGGUCCCUGGUGCUAAAAAGGUUGUGGACUGCUGGUCUAAGCCACCCAGUUUGUGGCACUUGAUUAUGGCAACCCCAGGAAACUAAUAACGGAGGAAAUAAGUAAUUGGGAGAAAAUAAUACCAGAGGCCACUGAUGAGUGCCCAGGAAAGUCUCCAACAUGCUAAGGGCAUCUGCAUUGCCAGCGCUGGGGCUGCUAAAUGCCACGUGUGCCUCGGGGCGUGGCUUUCCUCUCGCGUCUGCUUCCUGCCAGCGUGAGUCUGCGUGGCUUUACCCGACAGCUUCUGAUCUCCUAACAGGGAGUUUGGGGGGCAGGAGCUGCCGUUUCAAUCUCGUGUUAUGACUGGCAGGUAGUGGCUGCAGCCUUUUAAUGUUGCAGGUGUUCUGACGGCUGCCCUUGGCACUCUAAGACAAUUCCAUUGUUGGUGCCCCUACCUCUUCUAUGGAGAAGCUCAGGGACUCACUGGGAACGCACGAGAGGCAAGGGCUCCAGAGAACAAGUGGAUGUUGGAGUCACACAUAUCUGCAUCCAGACCAAGCUCUGAGGGCCUGGCCUCCUUGCUUUGAUCCAGAACGGGCCCAUCUCAGGGGAUACCUGGCCUUUGUUCCUGACCACAGCCCCGGAGAGGGAGGGCAUAGCUUCUUUUCACGCAUUCCAAGGAGAAAGGGAGCGUGUUCCUGUUUCCGACCUUUGACACUGCCCGAACUUCAAUCAGAUCUUCAGAAACCUGCCUCUCUUCUGUACAUCAAAAGCACAGACAGGCUGAUGGGGACUCGGGGCACUUACCAUUUGCGAAGCUGGCAGUGAGACAAGAUGCUUCAGCCACUGUGUGGCUGUCAGACUCCGGAGUCAGAGCUCCGUGCCAUGGGGAAAAUACAGGAGGCCCUUGGAGGUUGUCGGGCAAGUGGGAAGAUGAAUCUCACACUUAUAAGAGACGGGCAUCAGCCCCCACACUUCUGAGACGCCUUGAGCCUUUCGGGACAAAUGCAUGAGGAAUCAGCUCAGUGAGGUGCGUGGGGCGUGGGGUGAAGUACAGACCCAUAGGAUGUGGUUCCAGGUGGAGGACAUUUUCUAGCAGAGAUUUAGAUGCUGUACCGUAUAAGGGGCAGCCAAGAUAGAGUGAUGGGGUCAGGUUACACCCCGGCUGAAACAGCCUGACCAAGUAUAUGAAGCAACAGUUUUCAGGACACUGGACAUCAGGCAGUGAAGGACAGUGGUCCCCAAGAAAUGAGAAACACCAGACUGUAAGCCCAAGUUCACCACCUGGACAGAGUUUCCAGGCAGCAGCACGGGGAGGGGGAUGCAGACAGAUCCCUCAGCCUCUCUGAGUUGAGGAGACUCUGCUAAAAAGUCCAGGAAGGCAGAGGCGGCCGCAUCAGAGUGCCAGAGACAAGAGAGAAAGCAGAGACCUGCAGAUUGGCUGAGGUCUCCCUAACAUCUCGUAUUGAGUACUUGCCAAUGGAUGGCAGUGAAAGAAUGACUUGAGGCCAGGGGAAAAAAAAAACCCUGAAAGAAUUAGAGGGGAAUGAUUCUAGAGCUCCAACGAGAUCAAGAAUAGUGCCUGCUCCCACAAGCCAGCCUGGGAAACCUCAUAAUUGAUGAACGUAGGGGAGAACACUCAGAGGGCCUAUGCCUUGGUUAUGCCUUGGUAUUGGGGCAAAAUAGUCCUCAAUGAAACACUACCCUAAGCCCGCGUACGAAAGCUUGAAAGCAAGACCAAAUAGAUCAAACUGUUUCCAAGUAACACAACCAUAUCCUGGAAAAAAGCACAAGCAUAUUUAUAGGAACACAAAAAUAUACAGCACGCAAUAAGGCAAAAUUCAAAUGUGUGGCAUCCAAUCAAAACUUAUCAGACAUGCAAAGAAGCAGGAAAAUAUUACCCAGAGAUAACACAAAUUAUAGAAUUAGUAGAUGAAAACAUUAAAACAGUUGUUAUAACAUUAUCCCGUGUGUUCAAGAAGCUAGAGGAAAGAGACUGAACACAGUCUCCGUAUAUACAGAUACAGGAGGAAAAAUACCAAAUCAGACUUACAGAGAUGAAAACUACAAUGUCAGGUAUGAAAAACUACACUGGAUGAGAUCAAUAGCAUUUUAUAUAUAUAUAAAUAUAUAUACACACACAAAAUAAUUUUAUGUAUUAUAUGUGUGUGUGUGUGUAUAUAUAUAAUAAUUUUAUAUAUUAUACGUGUGUGUGUGUGUGUGUGUGGUGUGUGUAUAAAUUUGAAGGCAUAGAAAUGUAAGCCAUCCCUAAGAGGUCAUGGGAAGGGAGCUGAAAAUAAUACACAAAGUAUCGAUGGACCAUGAGACAAUUUCAGUAGCCUAAUAUGGAUGCAAUUGUAGGUCUUAUUUUUACAAACUGAUCAAAGAGGGAGGGUGGAUAGGAAACGUGUAAAGGAGUACUGGCCUAAAUAUUAUUCAAUUGGAUGAAAACUACCAAGAAGCUCAAUGAACCCCAGGCACAAGUGUACUAGUCCAAUCUCACACCGCUAUGAAGAAAUACCCGAGACUGGGUAAUUUAUAAAGAAAAGAAGUUUAACUGACUCACAGUUCUGCACGGCUGGGGAGGCCUCAGGAAACUUACGAUCAUGAUGGAAGGCACCUCUCCACAGGCAGGAGACAGAAUGAGUGCCAGCAGGGGAAAUGCCAGACACUUAUAAAACCAUCAGAUUUCUUGAGAACUCACUCACUAUCACGAGAACAGCAUGGAA